GAUGAACGCUAGCGAUAGGCUUAACACAUGCAAGUCGAGGGGCAGCAUGGUCUUAGCUUGCUAAGACUGAUGGCGACCGGCGCACGGGUGCGUAACGCGUAUGCAACUUGCCUCACAGAGGGGGAUAACCCGUCGAAAGACGGACUAAUACCGCGUACACUUGGGAUAGGGCAUCCUGACCCAAGGAAAUGAAAUUCGCUGUGAGAUAGGCAUGCGUCCCAUUAGCUAGUUGGUGAGGUAACGGCUCACCAAGGCGACGAUGGGUAGGGGAACUGAGAGGGUGAACCCCCACACUGGUACUGAGACACGGACCAGACUCCUACGGGAGGCAGCAGUGAGGAAUAUUGGUCAAGGGGCGAGAGCCUGAACCAGCCAAGUCGCGUGAAGGAUGACUGUCUUAUGGAUUGUAAACUUCUUUUAUACGGGAAUAACAAGAGCCACGUGUGGCUCCCUGCAUGUACCGUAUGAAUAAGCAUCGGCUAACUCCGUG
Molecule: ribosomal RNA, 490 nt
Filed under: uncultured bacterium
Lineage: Bacteria
Description: partial 16S ribosomal RNA
Rfam family: Bacterial small subunit ribosomal RNA
Source: RNAcentral